This 490-nucleotide ribosomal RNA is filed under the name Vepricardium coronatum. RNAcentral describes it as "partial 16S ribosomal RNA". It matches the Rfam family "Bacterial large subunit ribosomal RNA", at positions 1808 to 2559 of the family's 2925-position model. Lineage: Eukaryota; Metazoa; Mollusca; Bivalvia; Cardiida; Cardiidae. The record is from RNAcentral.
CAAAAACAUGGCUCUUCGUUUAUUUAAUAUGAGGAGUCGGGCCUGCCCGGUGGUAAAGAUUAUUUAACGGCUGCGGUGAAUAACCGUACUAAGGUAGCGUAAUAAGUUGUCCUUUGAAUGGGGAAUGGAAUGAAUGGCAUGACGAAAAAGUGGCUGUGUCUUAAACAAAACGAAUGUGCUGAAAGCUGAGAAAUUUCUUUUCAAGUGAAAAAGCUUGAGUCAAGGUAAAAGAAGAGAAGACCCCGUCGAGCUUGAUUACUGCUAGGCUAGUUUAUUUAAUAUGAAAUUUUAGUGAAGCUUGUCUUGGUGGAAAGUUUGGUUGGGGCAACUGCGAGCCAGGUGGAACGCAUGUGUUUAUUUUAUAGAGCCUGUACGAUAGAUAUAGAGGAAAAGCUACCGCGGGGAUAACAGCGUAAUCCUCUUUUGGAGUUCGAAUCAAUGGGAGGGUUUGCGACUUCGAUGUUGGAUUAGGGUAUCUUUAUGCUGCAGC